GGCCAGCAGCCGCGGUAAUACCGGCGCCUCAAGUGGUAGUCGAUUUUAUUGGGCCUAAAACGUCCGUCGCCGGUCUGGUGCAUUCGUGGGUAAAUCAACCCGCUCAACGGGUUGAAUUCUGCGAGCACGGCCAGACUAGGGACCGGGAGAGGUGUGGGGUACUCUAGGGGUAGGGGUAAAAUCCUGUCAUCCUUAGAGGACCACCAGUUGCGAAGGCGCCACACUAGAACGGAUCCGACGGUCAGGGACGAAGCCUAGGGGCACGAACCGGAUUAGAUACCCGGGUAGUCCUAGGUGUAAACGCUGUGAACUUGGUGUCGGGAGUCCGCAAUGGGCCCCCGGUGCCGGAGUGAAGAUGUUAAGUUCACUGCCUGGGGAGUACGGUCGCAAGGCUGAAACUUAAGGGAAUUGGCGGGGGAGCACUGCAACGGGAGGAGCGUGCGGUUUAAUUGGAUUCAACGCCGGAAAACUCACCAGGGCCGACUGUUAGAUGAGGACCAGCGAAAUGAGCUUGUCGGAUUUUCAGAGGGGUGGUGCAUGGCCGUCGUCAGUUCGUACUGUAAAGCGUUCUGUUAAGUCAGAUAACGAACGAGACCCUCAUCUCUAUUUGCUACCCGUCUCUCCGGAGGCGGCGCACUAUAGAGAGACCGCUGGUGUUAAACCAGAGGAAGGCGAGGGCAACGACAGGUCAGUAUGCCCCGAAUGUCCUGGGCUACACGCGCGCUACAAAGGACGGGACAAUGGGAAGCCAGGCCGAGAGGCCGAGCUAACCCGAAACCCGUUCAUAGUUCGGAUCGAGGGCUGUAACUCGCCCUCGUGAAGCUGGAUUCCGUAGUAAUCGUGUUUCAAUAUAGCACGGUGAAUAUGCCCCUGCUCCUUGCACUCACCGCCCGUC
RNAcentral lists this ribosomal RNA (895 nucleotides) under uncultured marine archaeon. RNAcentral describes it as "SSU rRNA". It matches the Rfam family "Archaeal small subunit ribosomal RNA", at positions 456 to 1354 of the family's 1478-position model. The record is from RNAcentral.